AAGUCGUAACAAGGUUUCCGUAGGUGAACCUGCGGAAGGAUCAUUAAUGAAUUAAACGAUGGAGUUGUUGCUGGCCUUUCUCAAGGCAUGUGCACACUUUGUCAAUUCAUCCACACACCUUUGUGCACUCUUCAUAGGCUGGCUCAUAAAAACAGAGGGGUUUAUUCACCUCUGGAGCCUUUCUAUGCUCUUUAAUCACAAACAUCAGUCAGUCUCAGAAUGUCUUACUUGCGAUUAACGCAUUUAAAUACAACUUUCAACAACGGAUCUCUUGGCUCUC
RNAcentral lists this unclassified non-coding RNA (280 nucleotides) under Hyphoderma setigerum. RNAcentral describes it as "partial internal transcribed spacer region". The stretch from base 1 to 46 matches the Rfam family "Eukaryotic small subunit ribosomal RNA", at positions 1786 to 1831 of the family's 1831-position model. The record is from RNAcentral. Lineage: Eukaryota; Fungi; Basidiomycota; Agaricomycetes; Polyporales; Hyphodermataceae.